UACGGAGGGGGCUAGCGUUGUUCGGAAUUACUGGGCGUAAAGCGCACGUAGGCGGCUUUGUAAGUUAGAGGUGAAAGCCCAGGGCUCAACCCUGGAAUUGCCUUUAAGACUGCAUCGCUUGAAUCAUGGAGAGGUGAGUGGAAUUCCGAGUGUAGAGGUGAAAUUCGUAGAUAUUCGGAAGAACACCAGUGGCGAAGGCGGCUCACUGGACUGGUAUUGACGCUGAGGUGCGAAAGCGUGGGGAGCAAACAGG
This 253-nucleotide ribosomal RNA is filed under the name uncultured bacterium. Its description in RNAcentral is "partial 16S ribosomal RNA". It matches the Rfam family "Bacterial small subunit ribosomal RNA", at positions 524 to 776 of the family's 1533-position model. The record is from RNAcentral.